RNAcentral lists this long non-coding RNA (1199 nucleotides) under Struthio camelus australis. Its description in RNAcentral is "lncRNA (ENSSCUG00000007743.1)". Lineage: Eukaryota; Metazoa; Chordata; Aves; Struthioniformes; Struthionidae. The record is from RNAcentral.
CGAGCUGGGCGCCCGCCGCGGCUCCGCCCACUUCUCCAGCCUCGAGUCCGAGGUAUGACGCGCCGGGACGCGCGCGGCCUUCGCGGGGGACGCCGCGGCGCCUCGUCUACGAGGGGGAAACCGAGGACGUGGCCGGGUGCCCUCAUGUUCGAGGGUGACGUUGUGGACGCCAAGGGCGCGGCCAGGUGCCCUCGUCUUCGCAGGUGACACCACGGACCCCGAGGACACAGCCAGGUGCCCUCGUCUUCACAGGUGACAACACGGACACCGAGGGCACAGUCAAGUGCCCUCAUCUUCACAGGUGACAACGUGGACACUGAGGGCACGGCCAGGUGCCCUCAUCCUCAUAGGUGACAACAUGGACACCGAGGGCACAGCCACGGCGCCUCGUCUUCGAGGGUGACACCGUGGGCACCGAGGACAUGGCUGGGGCCUCUCACCUUCCCGAGUGACACCAUGGACACCAAGGGCACAGCCAGGUGCCCUCAUCUUCGCAGGUGACAGCACGGACACCGAGGACAUGGCCACGGUGCCUCGUCUUCGAGGGUGACACCAUGGACAGCGAGGGCACGGAUGUGGACAUGGCAGCUUCGUGGGUGACACCACGGACAGUGAGGACAUGGACACAGUGUCUCGUCUGCGCGGGUGACAGCACAGACAGCGAGGACAUGGCCAUGGCGCCUCGUCUUCGAGGGUGACACCAUGGAGAGCAAGGACAUGGACACAGCGUCUCGUCUGCGCGGGUGACACCACGGACAUGAGCGAGGGCACGGAUGUGGACAUGGCAGCUUCGUGGGUGACACCACGGACAGUGAGGACAUGGACACAGUGUCUCGUCUGCGCGGGUGACACCACGGAGAGCGAGGACAUGGACAUGGCGCCUCGUGGUCACCGCCAUGGACGUCGAGGACACGGUUCAGUCCCUCGCUUUCAAGGGUGGCGUCGUGGACCCCGAGGACGUGGCCGCAGCCCCUCAUCUUCGCAGGUGACGCCGUAGCCACCGAGGACACGGCCAGGUCCCUUCGCCUUCGAGGGGGACGCGACGGACGUCAUCACGACAUGGCCAGCACCCCUCACCUUCAAGAGCGAGGCCACGGCCACCACCACGGCCACCGAGGACGUGGCCAGGUCCCCUCACUUCUGAGGGCGAUGCUGAUGCCACCACCGCGGCCGAGGACACAGCCGAGUCCCCUCAUCCC